Molecule: long non-coding RNA, 3993 nt
Filed under: Marmota monax (woodchuck)
Lineage: Eukaryota; Metazoa; Chordata; Mammalia; Rodentia; Sciuridae
Source: RNAcentral
CCCACACUCAGGAAGAAGGUUUCUUAAUUGAGAUCUGUUAUCUGCAAGACCAUGAGGCCCACAGCUUGGCUUCACAGGACAUGCAAACCACAGGUGGCUACACUGUGCCCUUUGCUUCUCUGUGAGGCUGCCAUAGCACUGGCUCCCAGGGGCCCUACGCGUGAAGAGGGAAGCAAAUGGCUAUUGGUAAAAUGUCAAUUCACCAAUUGACCCACCUGGUAAAAGCCCAAAUGAAAGGCUGAAUGGUUAAGACUGAUGAGUGAUCAAUUCUCCAAAUUAAGACAUUUAUAGGAGUUCAUAAAUGAGUUCAGCAGCCUUUGGGUAUUUUUUUUUUUUAAGUUUGUGUUGUCUACAGUUUUUAUUCUGGAAUCAUCCUCAGAUUUUUUUUCCAAACUUGUUAACUGGCCUUAUUUUGAUGCUGAAUUUGGAUGCUUUAUAUUUCAGCCACUGAACACUUCUCAUAAUAUUUUGUGCAAUAUGUGUGUUUACAUCUUUGGUUAUUUUGUAAGAUAAGUUUUAAAUUGGACAGAAUAAAAUAGGAGCAUACAUCUAUACACAUCUCCCACUAUUUAGCAUUUAAUUUAUUUUCUUUGAUGUAAUUUUUAUUAAGGUAUAAUCAGGAAUAAAAUGCUCAAACCAAUAUGUGGACUGCUUGAUGAAUUUUCCAUCACCCAAGAAAGCUUCCUCGUGCUCCUUUCCAACUUAUUUCUGUUCAAGAGGUAACCACAUUUCUGAUUUCUAUCAUCAUUGAUAAGUUUUGUUUAUUCCUGAAUAUCAUAGAAGUAGACUUAUGUGCCACCUUUUAUUAAUUAAUAUUCCUUGAAAAUUGAUAUUUUUUGAAAUGCAUUCAUGCAGCUGUGUUCACUUUUUCUUACUGCUGAAGGGUGUUGCCUUCUGUAAUGGACCAGGAUUCUCUAUUUUCUUUUAGAGCAAUUUCGCUGACACCAGUCUUCAACUCUAGUAAAUAAAGCUGCAUGGAAUAUUCUUGUAGCAAUUCUUUGUGAAUGUGAAUUAACUUCCCUUAGGUAUAGGCAUAGGAGUGGGAUUGCUGACUUAUGCUGUAGGUGCCUGUUUAACAUUUUGGGGAAACAAUCUAACUCUUCUCUGGAGUAGCUUCUGAUACAUUAUGCUAAGGGAUGCGAGCUUCCCGGUGCCCACCCUCACCACAGUUCAUUCUCAGUCUUUUCAAUCCUUCCGUUCUAGUGAGUCUGUAGUGGAGUCUUUUGAUGGUACAUUACUGAGCCUGUCUUGUCACAAAGUGACAAGUGCCCUUUCUUUUUUUCUUAAUAGUGUCUUUAAAUGAACUGGAUUUUUAAAAAUUUUUGUGAAGUCUGCUUUAGAUCUUUUUCUUUUAUGCCCCGUGACUUUGCAUCCUAAGACAUUUCUGCCCUCCCCAUGUCGUGAGUUGCCCUUUUCUGGUACUUGUUCAACUGCUCCACUGUAGCAACCUUGUGGCUUGUCCUUUGUCAUCUGCUGAAAAGGUUCCACCUCCAAAAUCACAAGGUGAGCGUCCCUCUGUCUUCCCUCAGUUUGUUAUCCUGCUAUUGACAUUAUUAGCAUCUUCUUUCCAUUGGUCACUGUUCCUUCUCUUCCUUGGGGCCCAGGGAGAGGCACAGCUCCUGGGGGUGGGAGGGUGUUGCUACAGUGUGCAUCCAGAUGGAGCAACAUGGUGUCCACCUGUACAGAAUGUGAAUAUUCGCUGCUGCAGCCUCCCCUCAGGCAAAGCAGGUGAUCUGGAUCUCCUUUGAUUGCUAUGUCCCUAAGCCACACUGUUUAUUUUCACAUUGCCUCUUUCUCAGUUUCUCCUGGCUCUUUUAGCAAGGAUAAUUGCAGCAUGUUAGAAAUCUGUGCACUGUUUAGGGCAACACAUAUUCUCAAGGUUCAUUUCCCCUUGUUUAUCUUUUAGUUAGGGUAUUGGGAGGACUGAGGAGGGAGAAUGAAUGGAUUAUUUGCAAAGCUCCGAAAGCUAAGGAAAACUGACAAGUAAAGAAGCAGCACCUGGGCCUACGAUUAAUGGGUGACUUUUAUUCACAUUGGCCUCAAAUAAAGAUCAGAAGCUUUGAAGCCCUGGGUAGUUCAUAUGAUGUGGCUUCAACAGAAAGCUUUCUACAAGGCGCUGUGCCAUUUAGAAGAGAAAAGCAGGUACUGCGGAAUGCAUUCUAGCAAGAGAGGUGCCAGGAGAAUAGAUCUUGCAAACCAGGAAGGUUGGUUGCCCUCCCUCUCCCCACACUCUUGACAUUGUCUUCCCUAAGCCAAAUUCACUUAGGAAGGAGAAGAAAAGGGACUUAGUUACUAUAGUCCAUCAGGGUCAGCCUUUGAACAUAGGAUGGAUAUGGAAGGAAAAACAUAAACUCUGUACCAUGCAAUGCAUAGGAUGAUCUUUAGGGUGGUAAACUCCAAACUACCUGGUUCUAUAUUGUAGCUGUUCAAGUUGCAAAAUUGUUUUAGGGGAACCCUUACUACUAGUAAUUUAGAAAACUUAGGCUCCCUUUGGAUCAGAUGGAAUAAAUUUUGGCAACUCUGCAUCACUGGCAAUUCAGGAGAGGAGCUGGGAAUACUGCCUGGGAAAGGAAACCUUGGUUUGAAUCCUGCAUCAUAGAGACAAUGUGAGGAGGCCCAGACAGAGCUAGAACAGGAGAGUUUAAUCAUAGGCUGCCAGUCCUCGGCUCCUGGGCAGAUGCCCAGCAAGGACCCUGCAAGCAGUAGGGGAGGAGGAGGGAGAGACAAAGAUGGAUAUCAUGGGUUCCAGGACUGCAGGAAGCCUUCAGGAGGUUCACAGCAGCACCGUGGCAUCACUGGACAGCUCUCCAAUAAGGAGCAGUGAGACAGGGGUGGGAGACACUUCAGCUCUCAGCCAGGGGUACCAAGCCUGAGCCCAAAGGCACAAUGAUUCUUCCUGAAGCUGCAUCAUGAGCCCCAGACUUUUUUCCUGGAGAUACUGUGCCUGAAUCCUCCACUUUCCCCUAGGAAGGCACCCCAGACUCUCUCAUUCUGCUCUUUCUCUGUCAGCUUUCUUCCACGUAGAGGCUGGAUUCAACCAAAUUCCAAAACAUUUGAUCAAUACAAGACAAUAGCAAAUAACACAGAUGUUUUCCUAUACCUGGGCACCUCAGUGUGUCCUGGUUCCAACAGGCCCUGAGUCAGGACCCACAGUUCCUCUUAGUUUUAUCAAAAUGUGCAGAAAGCAAAAGGAAAUGCCCCUGUCAGAUUUUCAGCUCAGCAGUGAGCGGAGCGAGAGCACCGUGGAGCUGGGAAAGGCAGCCAGGCAUCCCUCUGUUCCUGCAUCUUGCACAGCCCCCAGAGUCACAGAUGUUCUGUGCAGAGUCCUAGGCUUGGCGCUGGCAGGCAAUGCAGGGCCUUCUACUCAGGCCUUUCUUCUUCAAGGUUUUGCUCCUUCAACUGGGUCAAAGGCAUUUUGGUGUCCUGCUGAGCUCAGCACACACCCAACCUGAAGAAGCCAAGCUCGCCUGUGUGCACCAAAACUUUCCUCCUCUCCACUAGCACCUUCUGUAACUUGUCCAGUCCAGGUGUUCAUUAGGAGAGCGAGCCCUUAAGGUGUGCUAGAUUCUCUGUAAACACAAAAUGUUUUUAAUGUUUUACAACAAUCAUGCAAAUAAAUAUUCUUAUUUCCUUCUUAUAGGUGAGAAGCUCAGGGACCAUAAGCCAUUUCCCCCAAUGCCUCAUGAGUUUUCAGAAGCAGAACUUGGAGACAGACUUGUCUAUGUGUACAAAUUCUGUAUAUCUUCCACACACUCCGCUGCUCCAUCAUUACCCUCUGCAUCCUGGCCCGCAAGAGGAAGUCCCAGCGCUGCCCUCCUGCAUCCAGCUGUGCAGUAGAAACCUCGACAGUCAUCACAGGUCAUUGCCACAGCCCCUUUCUGACCCUCCGAGGAGCAUAUGAUUUUACACUGAUUCUUCUUCAUUUUUUGUUGUCCUCCUGGGCUCUCCUGUUCUGCAGCUUGUGUGUUUAUCUCUUAUUGUGCACUUUUAUGU